Molecule: ribosomal RNA, 122 nt
Filed under: Staphylococcus aureus
Lineage: Bacteria; Bacillati; Bacillota; Bacilli; Caryophanales; Staphylococcaceae
Description: partial 16S ribosomal RNA
Rfam family: Bacterial small subunit ribosomal RNA
Source: RNAcentral
UUUAUGGAGAGUUUGAUCCUGGCUCAGGAUGAACGCUGGCGGCGUGCCUAAUACAUGCAAGUCGAGCGAACGGACGAGAAGCUUGCUUCUCUGAUGUUAGCGGCGGACGGGUGAGUAACACG